CAGAUAUUAGUUUAUAUAAAAUUUUAAUUUUGGAGAUUAAAGAUAGGAAUUUUUCUAUAUCUGA
This 64-nucleotide transfer RNA is filed under the name Psylliodes cupreatus. Its description in RNAcentral is "tRNA-Pro". Lineage: Eukaryota; Metazoa; Arthropoda; Insecta; Coleoptera; Chrysomelidae. The record is from RNAcentral.